AUUGAACGCUGGCGGCAGGCCUAACACAUGCAAGUCGAACGAGUGGCGGACGGGUGAGUAAGGUCUGGGAAACUGCCCGAUGGAGGGGGAUAACUACGGGAAACGGUAGCUAAUACCGCAUACCAUCGGAUGUGCCCAAAUGGGAUUAGCUAGUAGGUGGGGUAACGGCUCACCGAGGCGACGAGCCCUAGCUGGUCUGAGAGGAUGACCCGCCACACUCGCACUGAGGCACGGUCCAGACUCCUACGGGAGGCAGCAGUGGGUAAUAUUGCACAAUGGGCGCAAGCCUUCUGCAGCCAUGCCGCGUGUAUGAUGAAGGCCUUCGGGUUUUAAAGUACUUUCAGCGAGGAGGCGUUACUCGCCGAAGAAGCACCGGCUAACUCCGUGCCAGCAGCCGCGGUAAUUC
Molecule: ribosomal RNA, 406 nt
Filed under: uncultured bacterium
Lineage: Bacteria
Description: partial 16S ribosomal RNA
Rfam family: Bacterial small subunit ribosomal RNA
Source: RNAcentral